Molecule: long non-coding RNA, 984 nt
Organism: Homo sapiens (human)
Lineage: Eukaryota; Metazoa; Chordata; Mammalia; Primates; Hominidae
Source: Ensembl
AGUUCCGGGCGCUUUGCCGGGCGUUAAUGGCGGCCAACAUCGCCGGUGCUGCGGCUUUCUCCCUAAAGUGUCACAGGAGCUAAGGGCGCUGCUUAACGAACUGCAGAAGACGCAGGCAGGUGAAGGACACCGGUUCUGCUGCGGCAGUGGAAUGUGGCGGAGAAGCUGGCGGGUAGGGCGGGGAGCAAGCCUGGAGGUCCUGGCGGACCCCACCAUUCGACAGGGCUUGGUGUGUUAUUGCUUCUAGGCCUUUUCAGCGGACAGAACUGGGAUGGAUACACACAUGCUUAUUUGAAAUCAUGCGUUUGUUCCAUACUCCAAUGUCAGCCCACCCCUUCUUUGCCCAAGUUGCUCUAUGGUCAAGUGAGCGAGAGCAGGUGCCUGCAUUUCCAGCCUCGUGGCUCACCGCCUCCUUCCAGUAGUCCCAUGUUGCUUCACACCUCUUAAGUACAUGUACUUCUGUGAACCCAGAGCCUUGGCUUUGAAAUCAGACAACCCCAGUUUCAAACGUGGCGCUGCCACUCACGAGUUUUGUGAUUUUGGCAUACCCCUGUCUGCAUGGGGAUAAUAACUUCUAUCUCCAUAGGUGUGGUGAGGAUAAAAGUCUAUGCAUGGAGGAAAUGUUCAUUCAGUGGUAGCUAUUUCUAAUUCUGUUCUUCUGGACCUAUGAUUCUAUCUACGAUGCCUCAUUUUUUUUCCUUUUUAAUCAAUUGGCAAACUUGUGCUCUGAGACCCAGCUUGUUACAUCUCUGAUGACAGCUGAUAUCCUCAGGAUAUUCCGUACUUCCUUUCUCCCUAUUACUUUACUAUGAAUAUAUGAAUAACAUUGUGCUUAUUGCAUGCAACAAAUAUUUAUUAGAUGAAUGACAUUAAAAUUCACCUUUAAAAUGCCAUCCUUUAUGAGAGGUGAGAAAUAGAACUUUUCCUUCGACAUGGCUGUACAUGUUCAACAACUAGAAUAAAACAGUCAUCAUGAACCCUCAA